This is a non-coding RNA of Chiloscyllium plagiosum (whitespotted bambooshark), 557 nucleotides long. The record is from the annotation of a RefSeq genome assembly. Lineage: Eukaryota; Metazoa; Chordata; Chondrichthyes; Orectolobiformes; Hemiscylliidae.
AGGGGUGGAGUUGGCGCUAUUUCGUGAUAACUACCUUCACUUCUUGGGGAGUGCUGUUUGAAUGGGAUCUUCCUGUGCCACUGCAGCCCAGCUUUGGAAGCAGCCCUCUGUCCAGGCGCUGGUGAUAGAGACGGAGGAUGAGGACGAGGAGGGAGAGCUCCCUGGCAGAGGGAACACUACACUGGCCUGCUUCGUGUCUGGCUUCUACCCGGGAGAUGUCUACCUGAGCUGGAGGAGCCAGGGCCGGGAGCUCUCUGAGGGAGUGACUACUUUCCCAGUAACACCAGACCCUCAUGGGACCUUCCACACAGUCAGCCAGCUCUCUGUGCCAUCACGAGACUGGCACAGUGGGUAUAACUUCACCUGCCUGGUGGGGCACCAGACCCUGGAAUGGCUGAAGGAGACUCAGCUCCGGAAGGAUUCAGGCUGGAUUGAGAUCCUCCGGAAGUCUCCAUGGCUCUGGGGCUCUAUCAUCGUCAGCCUGAUCAUUCUCUGCAUUGCUUUAGCCACUCUCACCGGUCUGCACUGUGGCAGGAGGGGCUGCAGGAAGAGGAAAG